RNAcentral lists this ribosomal RNA (897 nucleotides) under Trigonopsis variabilis. RNAcentral's name for it is "LSU rRNA". It matches the Rfam family "Eukaryotic large subunit ribosomal RNA", at positions 38 to 965 of the family's 3401-position model. The record is from RNAcentral. Lineage: Eukaryota; Fungi; Ascomycota; Trigonopsidomycetes; Trigonopsidales; Trigonopsidaceae.
GCAUAUCAAUAAGCGGAGGAAAAGAAACCAACAGGGAUUGCCUUAGUAACGGCGAGUGAAGCGGCAAGAGCUCAAAUUUGAAAUCUGGCGUCUUUGGGCGUCCGAAUUGUAAUUUGUAGAGGUAUCUUUGGAAACGGCCCUGGCAUAUGUUCCUUGGAACAGGACGUCAUAGAGGGUGAGAACCCCGUAUGUGGUUGGGUGUCCGUUUCUUUGUAAAGUGCCUUCGACGAGUCGAGUUGUUUGGGAAUGCAGCUCUAAGUGGGUGGUAAAUUCCAUCUAAAGCUAAAUAUUGGCGAGAGACCGAUAGCGAACAAGUACAGUGAUGGAAAGAUGAAAAGAACUUUGAAAAGAGAGUGAAAAAGUACGUGAAAUUGUUGAAAGGGAAGCGUUUAAAACCAGACACGGUUAAAAGAUGAUCAUCGUCCCUCGUGGGCUGUGCUAUCGCUUUUUUCUGGCCAGCAUCAGUUUGAGUGGUGGGAUAAGAGCAUUGGAAUGUAGCUCUUCGGAGUGUUAUAGCCUUUGUUGAUACCGCUACUUGGACUGAGGUUCUUCACUGAACGCUGGCGUAAUGGUUUUAAGCGGCCCGUCUUGAAACACGGACCAAGGAGUCUAACGUCUAUGCGAGUGUUUGGGUGUAAAACCCGUACGCGUAAUGAAAGUGAACGUAGGUGAGAGCCCUCACGGGUGCAUCAUCGACCGAUCCUGAUGUUCUCGGAUGGAUUUGAGUAAGAGCAUAGCUGUUGGGACCCGAAAGAUGGUGAACUAUGCCUGAAUAGGGUGAAGCCAGAGGAAACUCUGGUGGAGGCUCGUAGCGGUUCUGACGUGCAAAUCGAUCGUCAAAUUUGGGUAUAGGGGCGAAAGACUAAUCGAACCAUCUAGUAGCUGGUUCCUGCCGAG